UUCCUACGGGGGGAGCACAGUGGGGAAUUUUGGACAAUGGGCGAAACGCCUGAUCCAGCCCAUCCCGCGUGUAUGAAGAAGGGCCUUCGGGUUGUAAAGUACUUUUGGCAGGGAGGAAAACGUUUCCCCUAAUACCGGAGUCGGUUGACGGUACCUGCAGAAUAAGCACCGGCUAACUACGUGCCAGCAGCCGCGGUAAUACGUAGGGUGCAAGCGUUAAUCGGAAUUACUGGGGCGUAAAGCGCGCGCAGGCGGUUUGUAAAGUCAGAUGUGAAAUCCCCGGGCUCAACCUGGGAACUGCAUUUKAAACUGGCGGGCUAGAGUAUGUCAGAGGGGGGUAGAAUUCCACGUGUAGCAGUGAAAUGCGUAGAGAUGUGGAGGAAUACCGAUGGCGAAGGCAGCCCCCUGGGAUAACACUGACGCUCAGGCACGAAAGAGCCCAC
RNAcentral lists this ribosomal RNA (443 nucleotides) under Alcaligenes faecalis. Its description in RNAcentral is "bacterial SSU rRNA". It matches the Rfam family "Bacterial small subunit ribosomal RNA", at positions 335 to 773 of the family's 1533-position model. Lineage: Bacteria; Pseudomonadati; Pseudomonadota; Betaproteobacteria; Burkholderiales; Alcaligenaceae. The record is from RNAcentral.